RNAcentral lists this unclassified non-coding RNA (802 nucleotides) under Hevea brasiliensis (rubber tree). The record is from RNAcentral. Lineage: Eukaryota; Viridiplantae; Streptophyta; Magnoliopsida; Malpighiales; Euphorbiaceae.
UGGGAAGACAACCUUGCUGUGAUAAGAUUGGACUAAAAAGAGGUCCAUGGACUAUUGAGGAAGAUCACAAGCUCAUGAACUUUAUCCUCAAUAAUGGUAUCCAUUGCUGGCGAAUGGUUCCUAAGCUUGCAGGUUUGCUACGAUGUGGAAAGAGCUGUAGACUGAGAUGGAUUAAUUAUCUGAGGCCUGAUCUUAAGAGAGGAAGCUUUACAGAAAUGGAAGAGAAUCAAAUUAUUCAGCUUCACUCGCGUCUCGGCAAUAGGUGGUCCAAGAUUGCUUCUCAUUUCCCUGGUCGUACAGACAAUGAAAUCAAGAACCAUUGGAAUACUCGAAUCAAGAAGAAGCUAAAGCAACUGGGUUUAGACCCUGUGACUCACAAGCCUAUUGAACAAAAAGAAAUGGGUACUAGUAGUGGCGUGAAUAAUGAGACAAUUCCUGAGUAUAAUUCGUCGACCGGAAGAGAGGAAAACGUCGAGGUUAAGUCACAGGAUGAUCAAGCCAAGAGUGAGUUGAUAAUAAAAAAAGAUGAAGAGAAAAUAAGUGGGAAAGAUGAGACAGUGUCAGUGGAUGAAACAUCUGAUCUUUUGAGCAAUUAUGAAAUGUUAUGUGGAAGCAUGGAUCUGGGGUCAUGGACUAACCAGCUAGAAACCAAUACUACUACUUAUAGUUCUUCAUUGUCUGCAGAUGAGUCCAAUAACCCUUCAAUUGGUGAGUCUCCUUCAGUUCAAGACAUGGAUUCUAUUCUUUCAUGGGAAAGCUUCAAUCAUCUAGUUGAUGAUAUUUUAUUCGUGGAAAAUAUCCA